GAAGGGAGCGAUCUUCUCGACAACCUAUCUUCGAAGGAAAGGCAAAUUUUGUUACGGGCGGCGGAAUUUGGAAGCCUCGCCUUCGAAACGUCGCCGGCUCCGCGAGCUCAACGGGACGAACAUGUUGACGCGGCAGCGUGCGGGAGCAGCAGCCGCCUGAAUUCCACAGAUUGGUGCCGUUGUGGGUCAUGCGUCGCCAUGCCCACUGAAGAAGAGUGCCUCUGCUGUAAGGAGCUCCAGGGCACCGCUGAACCACUGAGCUUCUCGUGUAUCACGGAGCACGAAGAUUUCAAAUUGUUAUGCCUCAACCAAACCGUCCUUAAGGUGGCGUACUUUGAACUUCGGGGCCAGCGGGAACCGAUGAGCGCACAUAUUCACAAGAGAUACCGAUACACAGCAUACCGCCAGUUCGCGAGGUGGGUGUGGCACAAGCUUGGAAAAAACAAGCGCAUGGUGAUUCCAGCUUGUGCUGUGAACACCAUUCGCGAAGCCUUUCCAUCAGAGUCAAGGACAGGCUUCAGAUAUGCAAGGUACUAAGCAAGGUGUGUAUGUCGGUACAGUUUCUUGUCUAGCCAGUGUACCCUGCUGGGUACAGGGCAGUAAUAGCAGCUAUCAAAGGCAUUGUUGAUGUUUGUAACGUGUCGUACUGUAAAACCCUUAAAU
Molecule: long non-coding RNA, 663 nt
Organism: Ornithodoros turicata
Lineage: Eukaryota; Metazoa; Arthropoda; Arachnida; Ixodida; Argasidae
Exons: 3
Source: RefSeq, a predicted model, not a curated record